CCCUCCUUGUGAUGGUUUACACAAUGGGAAUUGAAAAUGUGGAGGCACAAGAACGACUGCCAAAGCCGACCCUGACCGUGGAUCCCCCGUCAG
Long non-coding RNA from Callorhinchus milii (elephant shark), 93 nucleotides. RefSeq lists it as uncharacterized. The record is from RefSeq and is a predicted model, not a curated record. The transcript has 3 exons. Lineage: Eukaryota; Metazoa; Chordata; Chondrichthyes; Chimaeriformes; Callorhinchidae.